CCCUAGCCCUGAUGGAAAUGGAAAGCCUCGAUGGAAUAAACCUAUUUUUUCCUGUUGCGGCAGAGCGACCAGCGGAAGCUCCUGCCGUAACAAUAGAAAAAAAGGUUUAUGACGGAGAGCUUGUAAUGUACAGCAGGAGACUGC
Molecule: small RNA, 144 nt
Filed under: Flavobacterium aquicola
Lineage: Bacteria; Pseudomonadati; Bacteroidota; Flavobacteriia; Flavobacteriales; Flavobacteriaceae
Description: Flavo-1 RNA
Rfam family: Flavo-1 RNA
Source: RNAcentral